Molecule: ribosomal RNA, 489 nt
Filed under: Pasteurella caballi
Lineage: Bacteria; Pseudomonadati; Pseudomonadota; Gammaproteobacteria; Pasteurellales; Pasteurellaceae
Description: bacterial SSU rRNA
Rfam family: Bacterial small subunit ribosomal RNA
Source: RNAcentral
AUUGAACGCUGGCGGCAGGCUUAACACAUGCAAGUCGAACGGUAGCACAAAGGAGCUUGCUCCUUGGGUGACGAGUGGCGGACGGGUGAGUAAUGCUUGGGAAUCUGGCCUAUGGAGGGGGAUAACUACGGGAAACUGUAGCUAAUACCGCGUAAAAUCUUYGGAUUAAAGUGUGGGACCUUCGGGCCACAUGCCAURGGAUGAGCCCAAGUGGGAUUAGGUAGUUGGUGGGGUAAAGGCCUACCAAGCCGACGAUCUCUAGCUGGUCUGAGAGGAUGACCAGCCACACUGGAACUGAGACACGGUCCAGACUCCUACGGGAGGCAGCAGUGGGGAAUAUUGCACAAUGGGGGGAACCCUGAUGCAGCCAUGCCGCGUGAAUGAAGAAGGCCUUCGGGUUGUAAAGUUCUUUCGGUGGUGAGGAAGGUGGUUGUUUUAAUAGAACAAUCAAUUGACGUUAACUACAGAAGAAGCACCGGCUAACUCCGU